RNAcentral lists this ribosomal RNA (483 nucleotides) under uncultured bacterium. RNAcentral describes it as "partial 16S ribosomal RNA". It matches the Rfam family "Bacterial small subunit ribosomal RNA", at positions 28 to 507 of the family's 1533-position model. The record is from RNAcentral.
GAUGAACGCUAGCGGCAGGCCUAAUACAUGCAAGCCGAACGGCAAGUUUGAUAGCAAUAUUGGACCUAGAGUGGCGCAAGGGUGCGUAACACGUAUGCAACCUGCCCGCGACAGGAGGAUAGCUCCCCGAAAGGGGAAUUAACCCUCCAUAACACCAUGAGAAGGCAUCUGAUUAUGGUUAAACCGCAAGGGGUCGCGGAUGGGCAUGCGGUUGAUUAGCUAGUUGGCGGGGUAAAGGCCCACCAAGGCGGUGAUCAAUAGGGGUUCUGAGAGGAAGGUCCCCCACACUGGCACUGGGAUACGGGCCAGACUCCUACGGGAGGCAGCAGUAGGGAAUAUUGGACAAUGGUUGCAAGACUGAUCCAGCCAGGCCGCGUGCAGGAAGAAGGCCUUCUGGGUCGUAAACUGCUUUUUCCUGUGGAUAAAAUACCCGGGCGCGGGGAAUUGAAGGUAACAGGGGAAUAAGCCACGGCUAACUACGUG